ACAGGUGGUGCAUGGUUGUCGUCAGCUCGUGUCGUGAGAUGUUGGGUUAAGUCCCGCAACGAGCGCAACCCUCGACCUUAGUUGCCAGCAUUCAGUUGGGCAACUCUAAGGUGACUGCCGGCUAAAAGUCGGAGGAAGGUGGGGAUGACGUCAAAUCAUCAUGCCCCUUACGACCUGGGCUACACACGUGCUACAAUGGGCGGUACAAAGGGUCGCGAACCCGCGAGGGGGAGCCAAUCCCAAAAAAGCCGCUCUCAGUUCGGAUUGCAGGCUGCAACUCGCCUGCAUGAAGCCGGAAUCGCUAGUAAUCGCGGAUCAGCAUGCCGCGGUGAAUACGUUCCCGGGCCCU
This 349-nucleotide ribosomal RNA is filed under the name uncultured Paenibacillus sp. Its description in RNAcentral is "bacterial SSU rRNA". It matches the Rfam family "Bacterial small subunit ribosomal RNA", at positions 1034 to 1382 of the family's 1533-position model. The record is from RNAcentral. Lineage: Bacteria; Bacillati; Bacillota; Bacilli; Caryophanales; Paenibacillaceae.